This is a long non-coding RNA of Balaenoptera ricei (Rice's whale), 1407 nucleotides long. RefSeq lists it as uncharacterized. The record is from RefSeq and is a predicted model, not a curated record. The transcript is spliced from 3 exons. Lineage: Eukaryota; Metazoa; Chordata; Mammalia; Artiodactyla; Balaenopteridae.
GCAGGAGAGAACAGGUGGGUUUCAGAACACUGGAGAUUGCUGAUGUUAACAGGGGCAGUCUAGCGCCUGGGUUAAGGACCAAACAGGCUCAGCGAGAGAUCGGGUUGGGGUUCUGGAAGAACCUCCAGCGAAGGAACCUCCGAACACAGGACAAAACGGGAAGAGAUGGGCAUGAGCCAAGGGACUCAGGGAUGUGGACAUUUGAUCUCAAGAUUCACGAGCAUCUGAGAGCAGCUCCCGGGAGAGUGCGGGGACACGAGGAGGAGAAAGCAGAGUUUAAGAAGUAAUGAUGGAAGGAAAGCUUCCCGCGAGCGGCAGCAAGACCCACGUUUACAGAUCAAACGUGCCGCUGAGUGUGGAGCAGGAAUGACGGUGGAAAAAUACCCACACCAGGUGAAAUUCAGAAUGGCAACAAGAAGAGAAAACCCUGCAAUCUCCCUCUGGGAGAAAGUAGCCCAGACUUUGGAAUGAGAGCCAGACCCGGAUCAGAUUUCUCCCGAUCAUCCAGAAAAGCAGGAAGAUGGCGGAGCAAAGUCCUCAAAGUUCAGAAGGCAGAGGUUUGAACAGAGCUCUGCACAAGCUGACCAGUCCGCGGGACGAUGGCAAACCGGAGACUUCUGGGGAUGAGGAGGAAGGCGGCUGGGGUACCCCAAGCCCUGCGCGCACACCUGAGCCUGGGCUGCGUGCACACGUGCGUCCUGGUGAGCAGGCAGCAUGAAUGGGGCUGGCACAGCCGAGGCCGUGGGAGCAGCAGAGCCCCCAAAGACCAGCCAGAAGAACCUAGAAGGGUAGAGGGAAAUUUCUUCCUCCCCGACAGAAGUGAGUUGUUUUACAGACAUGAAAACCCAUCACCAAAUGGAAGACGUUAAUUACUUGAUGACCAUGAGCACAUAGCCCCAGGCCCCCUGGAGCCUAAGGACUGAUGACGUUCACCCCUGUGACACCGUCCUGUUACCUCACCAUCAGCCAAUCAGAGAACUGUGCAUGACCUGAUCACAUAGCCUGUGGACCCCCCUCCCUUACCUGGCUUUUAAAAAUGCUUGGCUGGGACUUCCCUGGUGGUCCAGCGGUUAAGGCUCUGCGUUCCCAAUGCAGGUGGCCCAGGUUCGAUCUGUGGUCAGGGAACUAGAUCCUGCAUGACACAACGAGGAGCCCGCAUGCCGCAACUAAAGAUGCCGUGUGCUACUAUGAAGAUCCCGUGUGCCGCAACUAAGACCCAGGGCAGCCAAAUAAAUAAGUAAAUAUUAAUCUAUAAAAGUCUAAGUGAGGCUUUAAAAAAUUUUUUUUAAAUAAUAAAAAUUAAAAUGCUUUCCUGAAACCCUUCAGGGAUUUCGGGGCUUUUAGGGCAUGAGCCACCUGUCUCCUUGCAUGGCCCUACAAUAAAGCUUUCUCUGCUCCAAACUCCGA